This 332-nucleotide ribosomal RNA is filed under the name uncultured bacterium. Its description in RNAcentral is "bacterial SSU rRNA". It matches the Rfam family "Bacterial small subunit ribosomal RNA", at positions 568 to 898 of the family's 1533-position model. The record is from RNAcentral.
CUCGUAGGUGGCCAACUAAGUCAAACGUGAAAUCCCUCGGCUUAACCGGGGAACUGCGUCUGAUACUGGAUGGCUAGAGAUUGGGAGAGGGAUGCGGAAUUCCAGGUGUAGCGGUGAAAUGCGUAGAUAUCUGGAGGAACACCGGUGGCGAAGGCGGCAUCCUGGACCAACACUGACGCUGAGGAGCGAAAGCCAGGGGAGCAAACGGGAUUAGAUACCCCGGUAGUCCUGGCCCUAAACGAUGAAUGCUUGGUGUGGCGGGUAUCGAUCCCUGCCGUGCCGAAGCUAACGCAUUAAGCAUUCCGCCUGGGGAGUACGGUCGCAAGGCUGAA